CCCGGGCCUUGUACACACCGCCCGUCACACCACGAAAGCCGGCAACACCCGAAGCCAGUGGCCUAACCCGCAAGGGAGGGAGCUGUCGAAGGUGGGGUUGGUGAUUGGGGUG
RNAcentral lists this ribosomal RNA (112 nucleotides) under uncultured bacterium. RNAcentral describes it as "partial 16S ribosomal RNA". It matches the Rfam family "Bacterial small subunit ribosomal RNA", at positions 1373 to 1482 of the family's 1533-position model. The record is from RNAcentral.